Pangasianodon gigas (Mekong giant catfish) is the source of this 65-nucleotide non-coding RNA. The record is from the annotation of a GenBank genome assembly. Lineage: Eukaryota; Metazoa; Chordata; Actinopteri; Siluriformes; Pangasiidae.
GGAGGACUAGUGGUUAGGCCACAGCACUCUCAUUGCUGUGGCCCGGGUUCGAUGGCCCGGGUUCG